AAAUGAAUUUCAAACUUUGGAGCCCUGGAGAACCUGAGAACCAAAAGCGUGUUGAGCACUGCAUUGCGAUGAACUUUGGAGCUACAGGACGUUGGAAUGACCAAAAAUGCACAGCCAAAGUACCAUUUGUGUGUGCCAUUUCUGGCUGAUCUGAUCUCUUCCCCUACAUGCCAUGUUAAAUCAGAAGUGUCAUGCCCAUUUAAUCUUUUUUUUUUUUCUGAACAUUUUUAAUACAGUGCAAAUUUAUUUUAUUUUAUUUAUUUUAUUAAGUUCAGUUUCAAUUUUGCUUUGUUGCAUGAUACCUCUGUGUUAAACAUCUUUCUUUCUGUAACUCAAUAAAUCAAAUAGCAUUCA
Long non-coding RNA from Cyprinus carpio (common carp), 354 nucleotides. RefSeq lists it as uncharacterized. The record is from RefSeq and is a predicted model, not a curated record. Lineage: Eukaryota; Metazoa; Chordata; Actinopteri; Cypriniformes; Cyprinidae.